UACGGAGGGUGCGAGCGUUGUCCGGAAUCAUUGGGCGUAAAGGGCGCGUAGGUGGCCCCUCAAGCGUGCGGUGAAAGUCAGGGGCUCAACCCCUGAUCGGCCGUGCGAACUGGGGAGCUUGAGCACUGUAGAGGCAGGCGGAAUUCCGGGUGUAGCGGUGGAAUGCGUAGAGAUCCGGAAGAACACCAAAGGCGAAGGCAGUGUCCUGGGGAGUACCUGACGCUCAGGUGCGAAAGCCAGGGGAGCGAACGGG
This 253-nucleotide ribosomal RNA is filed under the name uncultured bacterium. Its description in RNAcentral is "partial 16S ribosomal RNA". It matches the Rfam family "Bacterial small subunit ribosomal RNA", at positions 524 to 776 of the family's 1533-position model. The record is from RNAcentral.